Molecule: ribosomal RNA, 497 nt
Filed under: uncultured bacterium
Lineage: Bacteria
Description: partial 16S ribosomal RNA
Rfam family: Bacterial small subunit ribosomal RNA
Source: RNAcentral
GAUGAACGCUGGCGGCGUGCCUAAUACAUGCAAGUCGAGCGAACAGACGAGGAGCUUGCUCCUCUGACGUUAGCGGCGGACGGGUGAGUAACACGUGGAUAACCUACCUAUAAGACUGGGAUAACUUCGGGAAACCGGAGCUAAUACCGGAUAAUAUAUUGAACCGCAUGGUUCACUAGUGAAAGACGGUUUUGCUGUCACUUAUAGAUGGAUCCGCGCCGCAUUAGCUAGUUGGUAAGGUAACGGCUUACCAAGGCGACGAUGCGUAGCCGACCUGAGAGGGUGAUCGGCCACACUGGAACUGAGACACGGUCCAGACUCCUACGGGAGGCAGCAGUAGGGAAUCUUCGGCAAUGGGCGGAAGCCUGACGGAGCAACGCCGCGUGAGUGAUGAAGGUCUUCGGAUCGUAAAACUCUGUUAUUAGGGAAGAACAAAUGUGUAAGUAACUAUGCACGUCUUGACGGUACCUAAUCAGAAAGCCACGGCUAACUACGUG